GAAUUUGAAGCAAAUAAUUGCAAUUAGUUUCGACCUAAUAUAAUGAUAUUCAAUUAUCCUAAUUCU
Molecule: transfer RNA, 66 nt
Filed under: Pycnoscelus femapterus
Lineage: Eukaryota; Metazoa; Arthropoda; Insecta; Blattodea; Blaberidae
Description: tRNA-Arg
Source: RNAcentral